This 250-nucleotide ribosomal RNA is filed under the name uncultured bacterium. RNAcentral describes it as "partial 16S ribosomal RNA". It matches the Rfam family "Bacterial small subunit ribosomal RNA", at positions 524 to 773 of the family's 1533-position model. The record is from RNAcentral.
UACAGAGACCCCAAGCGUUGUCCGGAAUCACUGGGCGUAAAGGGUGCGUAGGCGGCAUAGUUAGUCGUGUGUUAAAUCUCGGGGCUCAACCCCGAAUCCGCGCACGAAACGGCUAAGCUCGAGGAUGAGAGAGGUGAAUGGAACUCAUAGUGUAGGGGUGAAAUCCGUUGAUAUUAUGGGGAACACCAAAGGCGAAGGCAAUUCACUGGCUCAUUCCUGACGCUGAUGCACGAAACCUAGGGUAGCGAAA